Molecule: long non-coding RNA, 1538 nt
Organism: Pongo pygmaeus (Bornean orangutan)
Lineage: Eukaryota; Metazoa; Chordata; Mammalia; Primates; Hominidae
Exons: 4
Source: RefSeq, a predicted model, not a curated record
GAUAAAGUCAAUGCAAAGGAUUAGCCGAGAAUACUUGAGUCCACAUGAUGGAAGGAACUGGAUGCCGUUUAAUGAAUAAGUAAUUUAAGCAAACAGAAAGCCUACUUGGGUGAUUAAAGAGACACGGAUGACAACAACAACAAGAACAAUAGCAAGAAGCUAACCCUGGGAAGAUCCCAGUAGUCAACUGGGUGUAGACAAAUGCAAUUCUGGACCUAUGGAUGCAUCUACCUAAGAUCAACACCUAUGGCAUUGACAAGAGCUGAGAAGAAGUGAAGAAUCUUGCCAAGCAAGAGCAGCAUGUGCAUAAGAGAACCAGGCCCUAGCCCAACAUGCCGUUCCUCCCACAUCCAUCCAAGGCGCACCUCACAGGUCACCUGCCAUGUUCAUUCUGGAGAAAACACAGCUUGGGGAAAAUUGGAGACAGACACACAGGGAGGGUGCCAUGUGAAGAUGAAGGCAGAGAUUGAAGUGAUGUGACUACAAGCCAAGGAAUGCCAAAGAUCGCCAGCAAACCAGAAGCUCGGGGAGAGGCCUGGAACAGAUUCCGCCUCAGUCCCCAGAAGGAACUCAUGCUGCUGACACCAUGAUCGUGGACUUCCAGCCUCCAGAACUGUGAGACGAUAAGUAUCUGUUGUUUGAACCUCCCAGGUUGUGGUACUUUGUUAUGGCCGUUCCAGCAAACACAUAAACCAUUGUCAUCUUUGAUAACCCUGUGGCUCCUCCUCUCCCUGUCUUCCUAGUGCCUUCCUUCAAGGGUAUCCUGCAGGCAACUGGAGCAGCUGCUUGGAGGGAUGCACAAAGGAAAUGCCAAAACCACAGUGAGGUCCCGUCUCACACCGGUUACUAUGUCUAUUAUCACAAAGUCAAAAAAUAACAGAUACUGGUGAGGUUGUGGAGAAAAAGGAACGCUUUCACACUCUUGGUGGGAGUGUAGAUUAGUUCAAUCAUUGUGGAAGAUGAUAGUGUGGCAAUUCCUCAAAGACCUAAAGACAGAAAUACCAUUCGAUCCAGUGAUCCCAUGACUGAGCAUAUACCCAAGGAAUAGAAAUCAUUCUGUUAUAAAGAUACAUGCAUGUGCAUGUUUAUUGCAACACUAUUCUCAAUAGUCAAGACAUGGAAUCAACCUAAAUGUCCAUCAGUGGUAGACUGGAUAAAGAAAAUGUGGUACAUAUACACUAUGAAAUACUAUGCAGCUGCAAAAAGGAACAAGAUCAUGUCCUUUGCGGGAGCGUGGAUGGAGCUGGAGGCCAUUAUCCUCAGCAAACUGACGCAGGAACAGAAAACCAAACGCUGUAUGUUCUCACUUAUAAGUGGGAGCUAAAUGAUGAGAACACAUGGACACAGCGAGGAGAACAACACACAAUAGGGCCUACUGGAGAAUGGAGGGCGGGAGGAAGGAGAGGAUCAGGAAAAAUAACUAAUGGAUACUAGGCUUAAUACCUGGGCGAUGAAAUAAUCCGUAUAACAAACCCCCAUGAUAUACAUGUUUACGUGUGUAACAAACCUACUCAUCCUGCACAUGUACCCCUGAACUU